AGCCAAUGCUUGAGGUGAAGUAGGGAUCCAUCCUAGCAGAGCCACCUCAUGGAGCGUGGAGAAUAGAGGAUUGGACCCACCUCUGCUGAAAGUGGAGCCCUUCUCCAGUCCUCUGAAAUCUUCUUCCCAGGUAGAGUGCACUCUUGGUAUCAGAGGUG
Molecule: long non-coding RNA, 158 nt
Filed under: Cyanistes caeruleus (blue tit)
Lineage: Eukaryota; Metazoa; Chordata; Aves; Passeriformes; Paridae
Description: lncRNA (ENSCCEG00000007647.1)
Source: RNAcentral